Non-coding RNA from Lupinus angustifolius (narrow-leaved blue lupine), 287 nucleotides. The record is from Rfam. NCBI's taxonomy places the organism in Eukaryota, Viridiplantae, Streptophyta, Magnoliopsida, Fabales, Fabaceae.
UUUCCCAUAUCUGGAUUGAGCCUUGGUAUGGAAACUUACCAAGUGAUAACUUUCAAAUUCAGAGAAACCCUGGAAUUGACAAUGGGCAAUCCUGAGCCAAAUCCCGUUUUUUCGCAAAAACAAAGAAAAGUUCAGAAAGCGAAAAUAAAAAGGAUAGGUGCAGAGACUCAAUGGAAGCUGUUCUAACAAACGGAGUUGACGACAUUUACUUUCGCGUUGGGUUAGGAAAGGAAUCCUUUCAUCGAAAUUUUGUAAAGGAUCAAGAAUAAAUGUAUAUACAUAUAUAC